ACACUCCCAAUAAAAACAUGCGCUAGAAGCGCACCAUAAAUUUUCUUGCUUAAUAGUUCUCGUUCUCAUUUGCCUUCUUCUCUUAGCUCCUCUGUCCUCUGCUCGUUUUCUCUUUCUUUCUGGUUAAAACGACAACGAAACCAGCCCCCCAUCAUAACGCGGGAAAUCAAGAAUCGGAUCCCGAUACUACAUAUUUACCAAAUUACCCUCACCUCCUAACUUCCUCUGCAAUAUGUAUCUAUCUAUCUGGAAUUGAAUGAUCGUCUCCUUUCAAAGCUCAGACGUGUCGAAGCUUCGUCUGGACACGCCUUCCAACCCAAGCAACCCUUAACUCUCAGCCUCUCAUUUUCUCCAAUCAUCUUCUCUCUUUUCUUUACGCCUUGAUAACUCUCUUUCUCUCUCUGUUUUUUUAUUUUUUAAUGUUAUACGUAAGCUGUUGAUGCCUUGAUUUUGUUUUGGCUGCCUUGCCGGUUUCCGCUAUUUGUUUCGAUUUGCGUGUCUCUUCUCUUCAUCUCCUGCCCUUGAUUUUUCUAGCUCUUGUUAUGAUAUGAAGUUCGAUGGUGAUUGUUUCUCUUCUCUUCUUUAUCUUUUUGUUCUUCUUCUUCCUCUUUCUCUUCCGCUUUCAUGGAAUUCCAUUUCUCAAGUGAAUUGCGGUGAUUUUGGAGAUAAUUUCAGGUUCAAGCGUGGCUUAACCAGUUGUUUUAAUGGGAAAAGGCGAUAAUGCCAAAUUUGUUUUUCCUUUAACAAGUCUCCAAAUUGGGGACUUGCAGUCUUAUCUUUCAGAUCUUAGCCUUUUUGUGGCCCUUGAAAGUAAUAAAUUAUAUAUUCUGGUGGACAAUCGGCCAUGGUUGAGGGAUCUUGGUUCACUUCCAGCACACUUGUGGCAGUUGAUGGUUACCAAGUCUAGGUUAUCCCCCUUUGCAAACUCUAAGGCUCAAAGGGGGAGAAAAAAAGGAAAGGAGGCUUGUUCUGAGUCCAGUCUUACUAAAUCAAAGAAGAUUGAAAGAUGGUUCUCAUUGAUCGAUGCAGCAACUUUGCACGUAAAAGAGGCUUGCUACCUGUGAAGAAGUUACGAAAUUCUUUGUUUCUAAGCAAUGAGUUGCACCGGACCCUCUAUGGUUUUAUUGUGUUUCAAGUUUCAUGGACCAAUGUUCGAGGUAUUAACUACUUGAACGAGCUUCAGACGGACACAUCUCUGGCUCUUGAGGCUAAGAUUAUGCAGAGAUGGGAGUUUGAUAGCAUAGAGCAAGCGGCAAGUUGUAUGCCUUUGUGGUUCUCUGGAACACUUUCUGAGAAGCUACACUUGAAAAAGUAUCUAGAAUCUGCGACAGGUGAGAUCUUUUAUGAUGCCAAAGAAAAUUUCUCAAGGGCUAUCUCUAUUGAUGAUGAGGACAAUAUCUGCAAUGAUAGUCUGGGAGUCGAGGAUAUUUCUUUAUGCUGCCCAGGUGGCAAUUCUAGUGUACAUCAUGGGACCAUGGAAAAUAGAACAAGUGAUCCACACACUCCACCUACAGGCCCAUAUGAGAGAAGAAAGGUAACCAUGUCCAUCAGCGCUGGAGUAGAAGUUGAUUUUUAUUCCAAUCUAGCACAGGGUGGAACUGAAGACUUGUUAGACAACUCUGAGACCUAUACCAAUGAUUGUGAAAGCACUGUUGACGCUAAGCAGUACCGAGACGUGUUGAUUUUGUUUAGGUUCAAUGAUCGAGAUCUUCCUUUUAAACUGAAGGAGAUAGUAAUCUCUGACCUACGAUUACUUACAUUAUUAGAGGCCGGACUUCCAUCGUGGGUUCUCUUUCUUCAGUCAUAUCCUGGGUUUUGCCAUCUUUAUCGCCCCUGGAUGUGCCCUUUGGCUAGAGCUUUGUACGUUCUGAUCUCAAUUGUUACUGUUCUUAUAGGAUUUUAUGAUUUAUAUAAAAAUGUUCCAGUUCUGAAGGCAACUGCAUCCAGUUUGUGUGGACCACUUUUGGAUUGGAUAGAGACCUGGGAGAUGGUAUCAAGGAUCAAAUACUUAGGAACAAUGCUAUUUCUGCAAAACUUUCAGAAGGCCAUUACAUGGGUUUUAACUAUCACUCAUACCACUCGAUCUUUCUUUUCCAUUUUCACACAACCGUUAGUUGAACCACUUACGGAGUUCUUAGGCUUCCUCCUUCCAAUGUGGAAUGUGCUGAUUGAAGUGGUAGAGAGCUUGUGUUCUAUCGUUUGGGUUGUGACUGGAUCAUUUUGCAAUGUAGUCAUAGAUUUAAUACAGCUUACACUGUGGCCUUUAUGGCUUAUUGUAUCAAUGAUCUUGAGCAUCGCAACUACCAUUUUAUAUCCCAUAUUUUGGAUCCUUUGGGAGAUACUUUAUGCUCCAAUUCGAAUGGUCCUUGUGAUUGCCAGUUUUAUAGCCUUGCUUUGUGCUUGGAUAUCUGAAUUGAUUGGAGAUUUUUGGAGGUCUGUGAGUGGCAUUUUCCAGCUUGCUUCGGCUUCUGAGGCAACAAUGAGGACUUACGAAGUUUCCAUUUGGCAGUCACUUUGGAAUGAUCUUUUUUCUCAGGUUUUUUGUGCUCUUAGGAGUAUAUUUUAUGGUUUUGUUGCCUUCUUCACAGCCUGCAGUAGGCAUCGCCUUAGCAUUUAUAAUCAUGUGCAGGAUUUCAUCCAAAGAAUACUCGGCCAAGCCCAGAGAUCACGGCCCUCAGGUUGUAGACAUAAUAGGCCAACACGUGCACGUGGGACUCAGUCCGGCUGAAGUAAAUAGGAAAAUUCGCAUUAGGUGAGAUACAAUCAUUCUUUUUAAUACACAGACCAGAGCGAGCCUAUUUUAAAGCAGAAAACAUGGCAUCCUUUGUUACACUUGUGACAGAAGCAGUAAACAUAGUGAGAAUUUCAUUUAUUCGUUCUUGGUGUAUGUAUCUAAAUAGUCAAGUUUCCUCUUGUAAAUAGAAAUGUACAGCCAGCAAGUUACAAAUGCUGAGAAGCUUUCGAUCUUA
Molecule: RNA transcript, 2969 nt
Organism: Hevea brasiliensis (rubber tree)
Lineage: Eukaryota; Viridiplantae; Streptophyta; Magnoliopsida; Malpighiales; Euphorbiaceae
Exons: 10
Source: RefSeq, a predicted model, not a curated record